RNAcentral lists this ribosomal RNA (404 nucleotides) under uncultured bacterium. RNAcentral describes it as "bacterial SSU rRNA". It matches the Rfam family "Bacterial small subunit ribosomal RNA", at positions 917 to 1322 of the family's 1533-position model. The record is from RNAcentral.
GGGCCCGCACAAGCGGUGGAGUAUGUGGUUUAAUUCGAUGCAACGCGAAGAACCUUACCAGGGUUUGACAUCCUGCGAAUCUCUUGGAAACGAGAGAGUGCCUUCGGGAACGCAGUGACAGGUGGUGCAUGGCUGUCGUCAGCUCGUGUCGUGAGAUGUUGGGUUAAGUCCCGCAACGAGCGCAACCCACGUCUUUAGUUGCCAGCAUUUAGUUGGGCACUCUAGAGAGACUGCCGGUGAUAAACCGGAGGAAGGUGUGGAUGACGUCAAGUCAUCAUGCCCCUUACAUCCUGGGCUACACACGUGCUACAAUGGUCGGUACAGAGGGCAGCAAAGCCGCGAGGUGGAGCAAAUCCCAGAAAGCCGAUCUUAGUCCGGAUCGCAGUCUGCAACUCGACUGCGUG